GAAAUAGCUCAGCUGGUUAGAGUGUGGUACUCAUAAUGCGAAGGUCGCAGGUUCGAUCCCUGUAUGGGACA
Molecule: non-coding RNA, 71 nt
Organism: Podarcis lilfordi (Lilford's wall lizard)
Lineage: Eukaryota; Metazoa; Chordata; Lepidosauria; Squamata; Lacertidae
Source: the annotation of a GenBank genome assembly